Molecule: non-coding RNA, 253 nt
Filed under: uncultured cyanobacterium
Lineage: Bacteria; Bacillati; Cyanobacteriota
Also listed under: 1 other name
Description: contains 16S-23S intergenic spacer region
Rfam family: Bacterial small subunit ribosomal RNA
Source: RNAcentral
GACGGAGGGUGCAAGCGUUGUUCGGAUUUACUGGGCGUAAAGCGUACGUAGGCGGUUGAUCAAGUCCUGUGUUAAAUGUUAAGGCUCAACCUUAAAAAUGCACCGGAUACUGGUUGACUAGAGGGCAGUAGAGGAGUGUGGAAUUCCCAGUGUAGCGGUGAAAUGCGUAGAUAUUGGGAGGAACAUCAGUUGCGAAGGCGACACUCUGGGCUGUUCCUGACGCUGAGGUACGAAAGCGUGGGGAGCAAACGGG